This 280-nucleotide ribosomal RNA is filed under the name Goniomonas pacifica. RNAcentral's name for it is "partial Eukaryotic large subunit ribosomal RNA". It matches the Rfam family "Eukaryotic large subunit ribosomal RNA", at positions 102 to 378 of the family's 3401-position model. Lineage: Eukaryota; Cryptophyceae; Goniomonadida; Goniomonadaceae. The record is from RNAcentral.
CAAAAGCUCAAAUUUGAAAUCUGGUACCUUCGGUGCCCGAGUUGUAAUUUGGAGAGGGCAACUUUGGGGCCGUUCCUUGUCUAUGUUCCUUGGAACAGGACGUCAUAGAGGGUGAGAAUCCCGUAUGCGGUCGGAAAGGCGCUCUAUACGUAGCUCCUUCGACGAGUCGAGUUGUUUGGGAAUGCAGCUCUAAAUGGGAGGUAAAUUUCUUCUAAAGCUAAAUAUUGGCCAGAGACCGAUAGCGCACAAGUAGAGUGAUCGAAAGAUGAAAAGCACUUUG